Long non-coding RNA from Amphimedon queenslandica, 386 nucleotides. RefSeq lists it as uncharacterized. The record is from RefSeq and is a predicted model, not a curated record. The transcript is spliced from 2 exons. Lineage: Eukaryota; Metazoa; Porifera; Demospongiae; Haplosclerida; Niphatidae.
CAAUUGUAGCUGUAAAAACUGUAGCUGUAUCAACCACAAGAGUAGACUGAGACUCAUGAUCAUCAACUGAUUCAGCAAGAGACUGGCCUAAAGUUCACUUUGUAAACUGUUGUUCCUUUUUAGCAGGCUUGUUCACAAAGGACAUAGCCUGUGAAGCUUGUCCAGGCUUUUAGACAUUGCAACUGACAAAAAAAGAACACUGAAAUAGCACUAAAUAAUGAAAUGAUUAUGCUUUCUAGUGUUGCUGUGGUGGCCCACUGUGAUUGGCACCAAAGUCUUACCACCUCCUCCUUUAUUUAGUCUCUCUUCAUCACCUUGUUAUCAGCCUGCCAUUUAUGCAUUCAUAAUUAUAAGAUUUUCAUAAAAAAUUGAAAUUAUAAUUGCAA